RNAcentral lists this ribosomal RNA (695 nucleotides) under Escherichia coli. RNAcentral's name for it is "partial 23S ribosomal RNA". It matches the Rfam family "Bacterial large subunit ribosomal RNA", at positions 1 to 739 of the family's 2925-position model. Lineage: Bacteria; Pseudomonadati; Pseudomonadota; Gammaproteobacteria; Enterobacterales; Enterobacteriaceae. The record is from RNAcentral.
GUUAAGCGACUAAGCGUACACGGUGGAUGCCCUGGCAGUCAGAGGCGAUGAAGGACGUGCUAAUCUGCGAUAAGCGUCGGUAAGGUGAUAUGAACCGUUAUAACCGGCGAUUUCCGAAUGGGGAAACCCAGUGUGUUUCGACACACUAUCAUUAACUGAAUCCAUAGGUUAAUGAGGCGAACCGGGGGAACUGAAACAUCUAAGUACCCCGAGGAAAAGAAAUCAACCGAGAUUCCCCCAGUAGCGGCGAGCGAACGGGGAGCAGCCCAGAGCCUGAAUCAGUGUGUGUGUUAGUGGAAGCGUCUGGAAAGGCGCGCGAUACAGGGUGACAGCCCCGUACACAAAAAUGCACAUGCUGUGAGCUCGAUGAGUAGGGCGGGACACGUGGUAUCCUGUCUGAAUAUGGGGGGACCAUCCUCCAAGGCUAAAUACUCCUGACUGACCGAUAGUGAACCAGUACCGUGAGGGAAAGGCGAAAAGAACCCCGGCGAGGGGAGUGAAAAAGAACCUGAAACCGUGUACGUACAAGCAGUGGGAGCACGCUUAGGCGUGUGACUGCGUACCUUUUGUAUAAUGGGUCAGCGACUUAUAUUCUGUAGCAAGGUUAACCGAAUAGGGGAGCCGAAGGGAAACCGAGUCUUAACUGGGCGUUAAGUUGCAGGGUAUAGACCCGAAACCCGGUGAUCUAGCCAUGG